RNAcentral lists this ribosomal RNA (772 nucleotides) under uncultured Bacilli bacterium. RNAcentral describes it as "bacterial SSU rRNA". It matches the Rfam family "Bacterial small subunit ribosomal RNA", at positions 28 to 760 of the family's 1533-position model. The record is from RNAcentral. Lineage: Bacteria; Bacillati; Bacillota; Bacilli.
GACGAACGCUGGCGGCGUGCCUAAUACAUGCAAGUCGAGCGAGCUUGCCUAGAUGAUUUUAGUGCUUGCACUAAAUGAAACUAGAUACAAGCGAGCGGCGGACGGGUGAGUAACACGUGGGUAACCUGCCCAAGAGACUGGGAUAACACCUGGAAACAGAUGCUAAUACCGGAUAACAACACUAGACGCAUGUCUAGAGUUUGAAAGAUGGUUCUGCUAUCACUCUUGGAUGGACCUGCGGUGCAUUAGCUAGUUGGUAAGGUAAUGGCUUACCAAGGCGAUGAUGCAUAGCCGAGUUGAGAGACUGAUCGGCCACAUUGGGACUGAGACACGGCCCAAACUCCUACGGGAGGCAGCAGUAGGGAAUCUUCCACAAUGGACGAAAGUCUGAUGGAGCAACGCCGCGUGAGUGAAGAAGGGUUUCGGCUCGUAAAGCUCUGUUGGUAGUGAAGAAAGAUAGAGGUAGUAACUGGCCUUUAUUUGACGGUAAUUACUUAGAAAGUCACGGCUAACUACGUGCCAGCAGCCGCGGUAAUACGUAGGUGGCAAGCGUUGUCCGGAUUUAUUGGGCGUAAAGCGAGUGCAGGCGGUUCAAUAAGUCUGAUGUGAAAGCCUUCGGCUCAACCGGAGAAUUGCAUCAGAAACUGUUGAACUUGAGUGCAGAAGAGGAGAGUGGAACUCCAUGUGUAGCGGUGGAAUGCGUAGAUAUAUGGAAGAACACCAGUGGCGAAGGCGGCUCUCUGGUCUGCAACUGACGCUGAGGCUCGAAAGC